This 179-nucleotide ribosomal RNA is filed under the name Ruellia conzattii. RNAcentral's name for it is "5.8S ribosomal RNA". The stretch from base 2 to 157 matches the Rfam family "5.8S ribosomal RNA". From Rfam's summary of the family: 5.8S ribosomal RNA (5.8S rRNA) is a component of the large subunit of the eukaryotic ribosome. It is transcribed by RNA polymerase I as part of the 45S precursor that also contains 18S and 28S rRNA. Lineage: Eukaryota; Viridiplantae; Streptophyta; Magnoliopsida; Lamiales; Acanthaceae. The record is from RNAcentral.
CGACUCUCGGCAACGGAUAUCUCGGCUCUCGCAUCGAUGAAGAACGUAGCGAAAUGCGAUACUUGGUGUGAAUUGCAGAAUCCCGUGAACCAUCGAGUUUUUGAACGCAAGUUGCGCCCGAAGCCUUCGGGCCGAGGGCACGCCUGCCUGGGCGUCACGCAUCGCGUCGCCCCCCCACC